UAUUGCACAUCUCCCGGCCUAC
This 22-nucleotide microRNA is filed under the name Drosophila mojavensis. RNAcentral's name for it is "Dmo-Mir-92-P5_3p (mature (guide))". Lineage: Eukaryota; Metazoa; Arthropoda; Insecta; Diptera; Drosophilidae. The record is from RNAcentral.